Molecule: small RNA, 127 nt
Filed under: Marmota monax (woodchuck)
Lineage: Eukaryota; Metazoa; Chordata; Mammalia; Rodentia; Sciuridae
Source: RNAcentral
GCUGGGUGAGGUGGUGCACGCCUGUAAUCCCAGCCACUUGGGAGGCUAAGGCAGGAGGAUCACAAGUUUAAAACCAGUCUCAGCAACUUAGUGAGGCCCUAAAUAACUUAGGGAGACCCUGUCUCAA